UACGGAGGGUGCAAGCGUUAUCCGGAUUUACUGGGUUUAAAGGGUGUGUAGGCGGAUAUUUAAGUCAGAGGUGAAAUCUCCAGGCUCAACCUGGAAACUGCCUUUGAUACUAUUUAUCUUGAAUUUUGUUGAGGUUGGCAGAAUAUAUCAUGUAGCGGUGAAAUGCAUAGAUAUGAUAUAGAAUACCGAUUGCGUAGGCAGCUGGCUGAACAACGAUUGACGCUGAGGCACGAAAGCGUGGGUAGCGAACAGGAUUAGAUACCCUGGUAGUCCACGCCCUAAACGAUGAUUACUCGACAUAUGCGAUACACUGUAUGUGUCUGAGCGAAAGCAUUAAGUAAUCCACCUGGGAAGUACGUCCGCAAGGAUGAA
This 372-nucleotide ribosomal RNA is filed under the name uncultured bacterium. Its description in RNAcentral is "bacterial SSU rRNA". It matches the Rfam family "Bacterial small subunit ribosomal RNA", at positions 524 to 898 of the family's 1533-position model. The record is from RNAcentral.